Long non-coding RNA from Erinaceus europaeus (western European hedgehog), 2224 nucleotides. RefSeq lists it as uncharacterized. NCBI's taxonomy places the organism in Eukaryota, Metazoa, Chordata, Mammalia, Eulipotyphla, Erinaceidae. The transcript is spliced from 3 exons. The record is from RefSeq and is a predicted model, not a curated record.
UUAUCUGUUUAUUUCCCGAGAAAGGCCAGAGCCCUGCUACAGCCUAGGUAGUGCUGGGGACCCAUGGAUCAUCUGAGCCCUGCUACAGCCUAGGUAGUGCUGGGGACCCAUGAAGCAUCUGAGGACUGCUACAGCCUAGGUAGUGCUGGGGACCCAUGAAGCCUCUGAGCCCUGCUACAGCCUAGGUAGUGCUGGGGACCCAUGAAGCAUCUGAGCCCUGCUACAGCCUAGGUAGUGCUGGGGACCCAUGAAGCAUCUGAGCCCUGCUACAGCCUAGGUAGUGCUGGGGACCCAUGAAGCAUCUGAGGAGUACUACAGCCUAGGUAGUGCUGGGGACCCAUGAAGCAUCUGAGGAGUACUACAGCCUAGGUAGUGCUGGGGACCCCUGGAGCAUCUGAGGAGUACUAUAGCCUAGGUAGUUCUGGGGACCCAUGGAGCAUCUGAGCCCUGCUACAGCCUAGGUAGUGCUGGGGACCCAUGAAGCAUCUGAGGAGUACUACAGCCUAGGUAGUGCUGGGGACCCAUGGAGCAUCUGAGCCCUGCUACAGCCUAGGUAGUGCUGGGGACCCAUGAAGCAUCUGAGGAGUACUACAGCCUAGGUAGUGCUGGGGACCCAUGAAGCAUCUGAGGAGUACUACAGCCUAGGUAGUGCUGGGGACCCAUGGAGCAUCUGAGGACUCCUACAGCCUAGGUAGUGCUGGGGACCCAUGGAGCAUCUGAGGACUCCUACAGCCUAGGUAGUGCUGGGGAUCUAUGAAGCAUCUGAGGAGUACUACAGCCUAGGUAGUGCUGGGGACCCAUGGAGCAUCUGAGGAGUACUACAGCCUAGGUAGUGCUGGGGACCCAUGGAGCAUCUGAGGACUCCUACAGCCUAGGUAGUGCUGGGGAUCUAUGAAGCAUCUGAGGAGUACCCUCUGUAGCAGCAUCUCCCUGGGCCAUGGUCCAAGGUGCACACAGUGUAAUCAUCAGUUCCCACCUUGCAAGAAAACCACAAGGCACUCUGACACUCGCCUCACCCUGUCCCAUACCUGUCCCCUCACUGCCCGUCUCAAAAGGAGGGGUGUUCCCAUCCCUUCAUGAUCAAUCUAGAUCAAAGGUCAGGAGAGUGUGUGAGGGUUGAGAAGCUGAUGCCAUGACCUCCAGGGACCGCAGCCCUACCACCUCCACCUCUGAGAAGGAGGUGCCUAUGGCUUCAGCUCCCUCAGUGAACUUGCCUUCAGCAGACCACCUCCUUAGACGUUCAUGGGUAAGAAGAGAAGAUUGAAAAGGGAAACUGGGGGUCGGGUGGUGGCGCAGCGGGUUAAGUGCACGUGGCGCAAAGCACAAGGACUGGUGUAAGGAUCCCCGUUCAAGCCCCCGGCUCCCCACCUGCAGGGGAGUCGCUUCACAGGCGGUGAAGCAGGUCUGCAGGUGUCUGUCUUUCUCUCCCCCUCUCUGUCUUCCCCUCCUCUCUCCAUUUCUCUCUGUCCUAUCCAACAACGAACGACAUCAACAAUAACAAUACUAACCACAACAAGACUACAAGGGCAACAAAAGGGGGAAAGGAGCAGUGGAUUCGUGAUGCAGGCACUGAGCCCUAGCAAUAACCCUGGAGGCAAAAAAUAAAUAAAAUAAAAUAAAUAAAAAUAAAAAAUAAAUUUUUUAAAAAAAGGAAAAUAACCUGAGGGGAGGGAGCCUGUUAGUGACAAGUGAGGGCAUGCCCACCUGGGAUCUAAUAGGGACAGAAAGACUCACCCAGGUAUCUGGAGAGCUCAGAAUAGAGCACGGUAGCACUAGGGACUCCUUUAGGAGCCACCUUCUGCUGCCUGUCUACCCAGGAAGUCAAGACCUUAGCAGGAAUUAUUUCACAUUCCCCAGGCUUGGGAGUCAGAGUGCAAGCAGGGAGGUCCACCCUUGGUGGAUGAGCAGCCAGGGCUCCUGCCACGCUGCUGCAGCUUUGGUCCCUGCUGUCCUGUCCCCUGUGGGACUGACAAACGAGCUUCCUCUGUUUCCAGAUAUGCAGUCACAACUUGUCCUUUUUAUUUUUAACCCUUUUAUUUAUAGUGUUGCCCAUGGCUUUUUUUUUUCUUUCUUUCUUCCUGCAGUAAAAAUCUCGGCUUGACUAUUUUUGUACUAAGAUAUCUGUUAUCACCACUGCCAUCCUUCAGGUCCCUGAACUCAAACUCUGGGAGUUUUCUAUUCUCACACCCCUUCUCUGUCUCUGCAGGGGCUCAAAUAUGCCCCU